AACGCACAUUGCGCCCCUUGGUACUCCAUGGGGCAUGCCUGUUCGAGCGUCAUUUGUACCUUCAAGCCCUAGCUUGGUGAUGGGUGUUUUGUCUUUUUGCAAAAAGACUCGCCUUAAACAAAUUGGCAGCCGACCUUUGCGGAUCGAGAGCGCAGCACAUUUUGCAUUCUCCGCCACAAUCGUCAGCAUCCAUAAAGAACACAUCUUCUUUUGACCUCGGAUCAGGUAGGGAUACCCGCUGAACUUAA
Molecule: unclassified non-coding RNA, 248 nt
Filed under: uncultured fungus
Lineage: Eukaryota; Fungi
Description: partial contains 5.8S ribosomal RNA, internal transcribed spacer 2, and large subunit ribosomal RNA
Source: RNAcentral